Gorilla gorilla gorilla (western lowland gorilla) is the source of this 282-nucleotide non-coding RNA. It matches the Rfam family "Metazoan signal recognition particle RNA". Rfam says of the family: The signal recognition particle (SRP) is a universally conserved ribonucleoprotein. NCBI's taxonomy places the organism in Eukaryota, Metazoa, Chordata, Mammalia, Primates, Hominidae. The record is from Rfam.
GUUGGGCAUGGUGGCACAUGUUUAUAGUCCCAGCUACUCCAGAGGCUAAAGCAAGAGGAUUGCUUGGGUUCAGGAGUUCUGGGCUGUAGUGUGUUAUGCUGACCGGGUGUCUGCACUAAGUUUGGCAUCAACAUAGUGAAAUCCCAGGAGCUGGGAUCACCAGGUUGCCUAAGGAGGGGUGAACCAGCCCAGGUCAGAAACUGAGCAGGUCAAAAUUCCUGAUCGAGGCUGUGAACAGCCGCCAUACUCCAGGCUGGGCAACAUAGUGAGACCCUGCCUCUU